Pyrus x bretschneideri (Chinese white pear) is the source of this 1071-nucleotide long non-coding RNA. RefSeq lists it as uncharacterized. The transcript has 7 exons. The record is from RefSeq and is a predicted model, not a curated record. NCBI's taxonomy places the organism in Eukaryota, Viridiplantae, Streptophyta, Magnoliopsida, Rosales, Rosaceae.
CCAAUUGCUUUCAUUUGCUUCAUCUCUCCUGGAAUGAAAAAAAAAAACAUCUGCGUUCAUCCAACCUUAGAAUCCCGAAACCAAAAUUCAUCCAGAUCGUUCCAAUCUCCAACGGCAAAUCGAAAUAUCCAGUCGCUUGAUUCUCUAUCUAAAAUACCCACUCAUCGUUGCCUUAUCUCUGAUGAUUCAAUUGGCCGGCGACGGCUUCUAGGAUUCUAGCUCGACUUUUCUUUCAAAACUCAGCUCGAGUGCUCGGAUGCUCGAUUUUCCGACAUGGCGAUUUCUGCUGAUGACCAGAGAACUAGACCUUGCUACUAUCGGAUUCCUGAGUGAAUUUGGUUUUCGUUUGUUUGGGGAUUUUGUUUCCAGUAUCCGUUUUUCGACUGGUUGUGCAUCUCUGUAAAGCUAGAUCUGUAAACGUUUUUUCUGUUGUUUUGAAUGGAACCAGAGCCUUUCCAUGCUCGAGCUCCACAGAGGAUUGCAAUGGGAGAAGGUGGCUGCUCUGUGAUUUUUGCAAAGGGCAGAAAACGAAUGUGAAAUCCUAGACCAAUCAAUCUACGGCGGAUGCCCAUCUUGCAGAACUGUGAGUUUUGAACUCCUCCUCACAAGAGAAAGCCCAAUAACUUUUUGUUUCAGAGGCUAUGUCAGAAUAAUGAAGGACCUAAGAGAGCUUUAUUUGGAAGUAGAAGUCAAGGUUGAUCCUGUUGUUUCAUUUUGUGAAGCAGUGUAGCCUUUGUCAAUCAAAUGCUUUGCUGAAACAUCCAAUAAGAAGAAUAAAAUAACUAUGAUUGCUGAGCCAUUGGAGAGAGGACUUGCUGAGGACAUUGAGAAUGUAUAUUAGCUACAGUGUUCGUUUCUGCAAUGCAGUGACUGCUUCAAGGAAAAUGUGCUCUUAUGGGAUAUUCUAUGUUCAUGUAACUGUCAAUGGGGAAUACUAGACUAGCCAUUUUUGUAAAUCAAUGACAAGGCAUUUCACAAUGUCUUUUCUGUAAGUUACAUAAACUUAGACAGCUUUAUAAAAAUAUUUGCUCCAUUUUCUACUUAAUGUUUAUCUUAGUCUUUGGUUAUUUA